This 1936-nucleotide ribosomal RNA is filed under the name Chaetoceros neogracilis. RNAcentral's name for it is "partial Bacterial large subunit ribosomal RNA". It matches the Rfam family "Bacterial large subunit ribosomal RNA", at positions 4 to 1976 of the family's 2925-position model. Lineage: Eukaryota; Bacillariophyta; Thalassiosirophyceae; Chaetocerotales; Chaetocerotaceae. The record is from RNAcentral.
UAAGUUACUAAGAGCACACGGGGGAUGCCUAGGCUCUCAAAGGCGAAGAAAGACGUGAUAAGCUGCGAUAAGGUUCGGGGAGAAGCAAAUAUUUGUUGAUCCGGACAUUUCUGAAUGGGGAAACCCGGCUGGUUGAAGACCAGUCAUCCGAAAGGAGGCAAACGCACUGAACUGAAACAUCUAAGUAGGUGCAGGAAGAGAAAACAAUAGUGAUUUCCGUAGUAGCGGCGAGCGAAGUGGAAAUAGCCCAAACCGUUUUUGUUUCGGCAAAAUCGGGGUUGUAGGACUACAAUAUCCGUAAUAAAGUAUAGUGGAACAAGUUGGAAAGCUUGGCAAUAUGAGUGAUAGCCUCGUACACGAAAUGCUUUAGAAGGUAGUAGUAUCCUGAGUAGGGCGGGACAUGUGAAAUCCUGUCUGAAUCUGCCAGAACCAUCUGGUAAGGCUAAAUACUCUUGAGAGACCGAUAGCGAACUAGUACCGUGAGGGAAAGGUGAAAAGAACCCUGAACAAGGGAGUGAAAAAGAUCCUGAAACCGUGUGUUUACAAGCGGUCGAAGUCUUCGGACGACGGCGUGCCUUUUGCAUAAUGAUCCUACGAGUUACUCCUCAUUGGCAAGGUUAAGUCUUUAAGGGACGAAUCCGAAGCGAAAGCGAGUCUGAAUAGGGCGAUAUAGUCAGUGGGGGUAGACGCGAAACCUUGUGAUCUACCCAUGGCCAGGUUGAAGUUUUGGUAACACAAAAUGGAGGACCGAACUCAUAUACGUUGAAAAGUGUUGAGAUGAGCUGUGGGUAGGGGUGAAAGGCCAAUCAAACUGGGAAAUAGCUCGUACUCCCCGAAAUGCAUUUAGGUGCAGCGUUCAGGUAGAGUUUUAUAGAGGUAGAGCUACUGAUAGGGCUAGGGGGCUUCACCGCCUACCAAACCCUGACAAACUCCGAAUGCUAUAAAAUAUACUGAGCAGUGAGGGCAUGGGUGCUAAGGUCCAUGUCCGAGAGGGAAAGAACCCAGAUCAUCAGCUAAGGCCCCCAAAUGUAUGUUAAGUUGAUCAAACGUUGUGCGAUUGCAUAGACAGCUAGGAUGUUGGCUUGGAAGCAGCCAUUCAUUUAAAGAGUGCGUAACAGCUCACUAGUCGAGCGAUCGUGCGUGGAUAAUAAUCGGGCAUUAAACAUACUGCCGAAGCUAUGACAUCGAAAGAUGGGUAGGGGAGCAUUCUAUAUGCGUUGAAUGUGAGGGGUGACCCUUGCUGGAGCGUAUAGAAAAGCAAAUGUAGGAAUAAGUAACGAUAAAGCAGGCGAGAAACCUGCUCACCAAUAGACUAAGGUUUCCUUGGCGACGCUAAUCGUCCAAGGGUUAGUCGGGACCUAACGCGAACCCGAGAGGGGUAGUGGAUGGAUAAUGGGUUAAUAUUCCCAUACUUGUAUUAGUUGCGAUGGGGUGACGGAGUGAUGAACGAACCGCGUACUGACGGAAUAGUACGUUAAAGGGUGUAGAUAUUGGGACUGUAGGCAAAUCCGCAGACCUAGUCGAACCUGAUAGUACCACAAAGCUUCGGCUGCGUGGAUAGUGUUCCUAAACGCUUCCAAGAAAAACCUCUAAGCUUCAGACUAGUACAACUCGUACCGCAAACCAACACAGGUAGUCAAGUAGAGAAUACUAAGGUGCUCGAGUGAUUCAUGGCUAAGGAACUAGGCAAAAUGGUCUCGUAACUUCGGGAGAAGAGACGCUCCGCUUAUGCGGAGCCGCAGUGAAUAGGCCCAGGCGACUGUUUAUCAAAAACACAUGGCUUUGCAAAAUCGAAAGAUGAAGUAUAAGGCCUGACACCUGCCCGGUGCCGGAAGGUUAAGUGGAGAUGUUAGCUUCGGCGAAGCAUUCAAAUGAAGCCCCGGUAAACGGCGGCCGUAACUAUAACGGUCCUAAGGUAGCGAAAUUCCUUGUCGGG